This 497-nucleotide ribosomal RNA is filed under the name uncultured bacterium. Its description in RNAcentral is "partial 16S ribosomal RNA". It matches the Rfam family "Bacterial small subunit ribosomal RNA", at positions 28 to 507 of the family's 1533-position model. The record is from RNAcentral.
GACGAACGCUGGCGGCGUGCCUAAUACAUGCAAGUAGAACGCUGAAGAGAGGAGCUUGCUCUUCUUGGAUGAGUUGCGAACGGGUGAGUAACGCGUAGGUAACCUGCCUUGUAGCGGGGGAUAACUAUUGGAAACGAUAGCUAAUACCGCAUAACAAUGGAUGACACAUGUCAUUUAUUUGAAAGGGGCAAUUGCUCCACUACAAGAUGGACCUGCGUUGUAUUAGCUAGUAGGUGAGGUAAUGGCUCACCUAGGCGACGAUACAUAGCCGACCUGAGAGGGUGGGCGGCCACACUGGGACUGUGACACGGCCCAGACUCCUACGGGAGGCAGCAGUAGGGAAUCUUCGGCAAUGGGGGCAACCCUGACCGAGCAACGCCGCGUGAGUGAAGAAGGUUUUCGGAUCGUAAAGCUCUGUUGUAAGUCAAGAACGGGUGUGAGAGUGGAAAGUUCACACUGUGACGGUAGCUUACCAGAAAGGGACGGCUAACUACGUG